UGACUGCGUACCUUUUGUAUAAUGGGUCAGCGACUUAUAUUCUGUAGCAAGGUUAACCGAAUAGGGGAGCCGAAGGGAAACCGAGUCUUAACUGGGCGUUAAGUUGCAGGGUAUAGACCCGAAACCCGGUGAUCUAGCCAUGGGCAGGUUGAAGGUUGGGUAACACUAACUGGAGGACCGAACCGACUAAUGUUGAAAAAUUAGCGGAUGACUUGUGGCUGGGGGUGAAAGGCCAAUCAAACCGGGAGAUAGCUGGUUCUCCCCGAAAGCUAUUUAGGUAGCGCCUCGUGAAUUCAUCUCCGGGGGUAGAGCACUGUUUCGGCAAGGGGGUCAUCCCGACUUACCAACCCGAUGCAAACUGCGAAUACCGGAGAAUGUUAUCACGGGAGACACACGGCGGGUGCUAACGUCCGUCGUGAAGAGGGAAACAACCCAGACCGCCAGCUAAGGUCCCAAAGUCAUGGUUAAGUGGGAAACGAUGUGGGAAGGCCCAGACAGCCAGGAUGUUGGCUUAGAAGCAGCCAUCAUUUAAAGAAAGCGUAAUAGCUCACUGGUCGAGUCGGCCUGCGCGGAAGAUGUAACGGGGCUAAACCAUGCACCGAAGCUGCGGCAGCGACACUAUGUGUUGUUGGGUAGGGGAGCGUUCUGUAAGCCUGUGAAGGUGUGCUGUGAGGCAUGCUGGAGGUAUCAGAAGUGCGAAUGCUGACAUAAGUAACGAUAAAGCGGGUGAAAAGCCCGCUCGCCGGAAGACCAAGGGUUCCUGUCCAACGUUAAUCGGGGCAGGGUGAGUCGACCCCUAAGCCGAGGCCGAAAGGCGUAGGCGAUGGACAACAGGUUGAUAUUCCUGUACCACCUCCUCACCAUUUGAGCAAUGGGGGGACGCAGGAGGAUAGGGUAAGCGCGGUAUUGGAUAUCCGCGUCCAAGCAGUUAGGCUGUCUC
Molecule: ribosomal RNA, 940 nt
Filed under: Enterococcus faecalis
Lineage: Bacteria; Bacillati; Bacillota; Bacilli; Lactobacillales; Enterococcaceae
Description: partial 23S ribosomal RNA
Rfam family: Bacterial large subunit ribosomal RNA
Source: RNAcentral